RNAcentral lists this ribosomal RNA (301 nucleotides) under uncultured bacterium. RNAcentral describes it as "partial 16S ribosomal RNA". It matches the Rfam family "Bacterial small subunit ribosomal RNA", at positions 509 to 807 of the family's 1533-position model. The record is from RNAcentral.
CAGUAGCCGCGGUAAUACGUAGGGUGCAAGCGUUAAUCGGAAUUACUGGGCGUAAAGCGUGCGCAGGUGGUUUCGUAAGACAGAUGUGGAAUCCCCGGGCUUAACCUGGGAACUGCAUUUGUGACUGCGAGGCUAGAGUGUGUCAGAGGGGGGUGGAAUUCCACGUGUAGCAGUGAAAUGCGUAGAUAUGUGGAGGAACACCGAUGGCGAAGGCAGCCCCCUGGGAUAACACUGACGCUCAUGCACGAAAGCGUGGGGAGCAAACAGGAUUAGAUACCCCCGUAGUCCCUGUCUCUUAUAC